Molecule: ribosomal RNA, 1343 nt
Filed under: Salmonella enterica subsp. enterica serovar Livingstone
Lineage: Bacteria; Pseudomonadati; Pseudomonadota; Gammaproteobacteria; Enterobacterales; Enterobacteriaceae
Description: partial 23S ribosomal RNA
Rfam family: Bacterial large subunit ribosomal RNA
Source: RNAcentral
GGGUUGUGAGGUUAAGCGACUAAGCGUACACGGUGGAUGCCCUGGCAGUCAGAGGCGAUGAAGGGCGUGCUAAUCUGCGAUAAGCGCCGGUAAGGUGAUAUGAACCGUUAUAACCGGCGAUACCCGAAUGGGGAAACCCAGUGUGACUCGUCACACUAUCAUUAACUGAAUCCAUAGGUUAAUGAGGCGAACCGGGGGAACUGAAACAUCUAAGUACCCCGAGGAAAAGAAAUCAACCGAGAUUCCCCCAGUAGCGGCGAGCGAACGGGGAGGAGCCCAGAGCCUGAAUCAGCAUGUGUGUUAGUGGAAGCGUCUGGAAAGGCGCGCGAUACAGGGUGACAGCCCCGUACACAAAAGCGCAUGUGCUGUGAGCUCAAUGAGUAGGGCGGGACACGUGGUAUCCUGUCUGAAUAUGGGGGGACCAUCCUCCAAGGCUAAAUACUCCUGACUGACCGAUAGUGAACCAGUACCGUGAGGGAAAGGCGAAAAGAACCCCGGCGAGGGGAGUGAAAAAGAACCUGAAACCGUGUACGUACAAGCAGUGGGAGCCCCACCACUAAGCCAGUGGUGAACUCCACAUACGCAUCCUUUGCUGAGGAUACGGUUAAGGGAGCGAAAGCGACGUUCAACCGCAAAAGAAGCAGAGGGGGCUUAGUGGUGGGGUGACUGCGUACCUUUUGUAUAAUGGGUCAGCGACUUAUAUUCUGUAGCAAGGUUAACCGUAUAGGGGAGCCGUAGGGAAACCGAGUCUUAACCGGGCGUUAAGUUGCAGGGUAUAGACCCGAAACCCGGUGAUCUAGCCAUGGGCAGGUUGAAGGUUGGGUAACACUAACUGGAGGACCGAACCGACUAAUGUUGAAAAAUUAGCGGAUGACCUGUGGCUGGGGGUGAAAGGCCAAUCAAACCGGGAGAUAGCUGGUUCUCCCCGAAAGCUAUUUAGGUAGCGCCUCGUGAACUCAUCUCCGGGGGUAGAGCACUGUUUCGGCUAGGGGGUCAUCCCGACUUACCAACCCGAUGCAAACUGCGAAUACCGGAGAAUGUUAUCACGGGAGACACACGGCGGGUGCUAACGUCCGUCGUGAAGAGGGAAACAACCCAGACCGCCAGCUAAGGUCCCAAAGUCAUGGUUAAGUGGGAAACGAUGUGGGAAGGCCCAGACAGCCAGGAUGUUGGCUUAGAAGCAGCCAUCAUUUAAAGAAAGCGUAAUAGCUCACUGGUCGAGUCGGCCUGCGCGGAAGAUGUAACGGGGCUAAACCAUGCACCGAAGCUGCGGCAGCGACACUGUGUGUUGUUGGGUAGGGGAGCGUUCUGUAAGCCUGUGAAGGUGUGUCGUGAGGCAUGCU